UCCAGACUCCUACGGGAGGCAGCAGUUAGGAAUAUUCGUCAAUGGGGGAAACCCUGAACGAGCAAUGCCGCGUGAGUGAUGAAGGUCUUAAUGAUUGUAAAACUCUGUUGUGAAGGAAGAAUAGCCAUCAUAGGUAAUGAUGAUGGUGUGACGGUACUUCACCAGAAAGCCCCGGCUAACUACGUGCCAGCAGCCGCGGUAAUACGUAGGGGGCGAGCGUUAUCCGGAUUUAUUGGGCGUAAAGAGUUCGUAGGCGGUUUGUUAAGUCUAAAAUUCAAGCCCGAGGCUUAACCUCGGUUCGUUUUAGAAACUGGCAAACUUGAGUGUGGUAGAGGCAAGUGGAAUUUCUAGUGUAGCGGUUAAAUGCGUAGAUAUUAGAAGGAACACCAGUGGCGAAGGCGGCUUGCUGGGCCAUUACUGACGCUGAGGAACGAAAGCGUGGGGAGCAAAUAGGAUUAGAUACCCCCGUAGAC
RNAcentral lists this ribosomal RNA (473 nucleotides) under uncultured bacterium. RNAcentral describes it as "bacterial SSU rRNA". It matches the Rfam family "Bacterial small subunit ribosomal RNA", at positions 330 to 795 of the family's 1533-position model. The record is from RNAcentral.